Non-coding RNA from Anoxybacillus flavithermus, 123 nucleotides. The record is from Rfam. Lineage: Bacteria; Bacillati; Bacillota; Bacilli; Caryophanales; Anoxybacillaceae.
CACACCUUUUAAAAGAAGUCCAGCGAGGCUUACAAAGGUGUGAGCGAGGAAAUCCGUUUACUAAAACGGUCUCUUUCCUCAUGCUUUCAAACACCUUGCCUCGCUUGGCAAGGUGUUUUUACU